Molecule: small RNA, 536 nt
Filed under: Pongo abelii (Sumatran orangutan)
Lineage: Eukaryota; Metazoa; Chordata; Mammalia; Primates; Hominidae
Description: retained intron
Source: RNAcentral
CACAACAGCAAGAAGCACUACUCCACAGGGGGUGAAGAGUGGAAGGGGUCACAGACUUUAGUUUGUACAUCUCUGUUACCUUUAUUGCAGAUAACCGUCUCCUCAGGAGGAAUGUUGGUUCAGAAACUGAACACCAAUGAUCUCCAGUCCGAAAGAACACCAUUUGAUGGAACUAUGGUCUAUGCACAAAACAAGAGGCAGCAAGUGGUUCUGACGGAGCAGUGGGCCCGAGGGCACCCGGCCAUCCAUUUUUCUUCCAUGCAUCCUGGCUGGGCCGACACCCCAGGUGUGAGGCAGGCGAUGCCGGGGUUCCAUGCCAGGUUCAGGGACCGCCUGCGCUCCGAGGCCCAGGGCGCGGACACUGUGCUGUGGUUGGCCCUCUCCUCUGCCGCAGCCGCACAGCCCAGCGGCUGCUUCUUUCAAGUGGGCUCCUAAGGGGGCAGGCGUGAGUGGACGCCAUCCGAAGACACACUUGACCUUGGGUGGAAGCCAGGCUCUUUGCUCGGCUUCUCUUUCCUCUGUUCUUGAUGAGAACC